GUGUGCGUGUCGAAGGUCACGGCGCGCUCACAAUGGAGCUCUCGGAGUCUGUGCAGAAAGGCUUCCAGAUGCUGGCGGAUCCCGGCUCCUUCGACUCCAACGCCUUCACGCUUCUCCUCCGGGCGGCAUUCCAGAGUCUGCUGGACGCCCAGGCGGACGAGGCCGUGUUAGAUCAUCCAGACUUGAAACAUAUCGACCCAGUGGUUUUAAAACAUUGUCAUGCAGCAGCUGCAACUUACAUACUAGAGGCAGGAAAGCACCGAGCUGACAAGUCAACUCUAAGCACUUAUCUAGAAGACUGUAAAUUUGACAGAGAGCGAAUAGAACUGUUUUGCACGGAAUAUCAGAAUAAUAAGAAUUCCCUAGAAAUCCUACUGGGAAGGUAGGUACUGUAUAAGGUGUCAAGCUGAGGCACUUUUCACUUGCAGGUAUGAAUGGAGAGUGUUGGUGUGAAACAAGAUCUUCGGGAUCUUGACCCAAAGAAAAGGAGCCAAAGGGCAUGUCAAACAAUUGAAGUUAAGCUAAUGUUUUUAAAGAUAGUUUAUUGAGAUGAUUUUGAAAUGCUCCUUUACCAUUCAGAAUUUAAAAAUAAAGUUUAACAAUGGUUUAAAUUCAGAAUGGAUUAAAAUGGAGUUGGGGGUGGAAAGUAGAGCCAUUCUUAGUAAAUAAUAAAUAACUGAAAAGUUCUUUUGAGAAGACUAUGUACAAAGUUAUCAUUGCAUCUUUCAGUAUAGGCAGAUCGCUCCCUCAUAUAACGGAUGUUUCUUGGCGCUUGGAAUAUCAGAUAAAGACCAAUCAACUUCAUAGGAUGUACAGACCUGCAUAUUUGGUGACCUUAAGUGUACAGGUAUUUAUAGAUAAGUCUUAUCCAGUAAUGAAAUUUAUAAUUUUAUUGAUUUAAAUAAACAGCGUUUUUUGUUGCGUGUUUUUUUUCCUGCCCUAGAACACUGAUUCCCCAUCCUAUCCAGAGAUUAGUUUUAGUUGCAGCAUGGAACAAUUACAGGUACAGUAUUAGGAUCUAUAAAUAUGCCUGUCUUUUUAUAAAUGUUUACUUGAGAGUUAUACUCUUGGAAAGUUCAAAAGAAAAUUAACCAUUUGUCAGCAGAUAAUGAAGAUUGGUUAAGGAUUUAAUGUGAAAGGGGCAUCAAAAGUAGUAUUUUAAGAUAGGCUUCACUUGAAAUUAAGAUGUUAUUAAUAGAGAAUUGGUCUGUAUUUGCUGUUCUUGCUGAUUAAAAUAAACUUCUGUAGUGUUUAGUGUAAAUUUCUUCUAUUCAUGAUGAGUUUGAUCCAAUAAGAUAAAGCAAAAUUAAGAGCAUGGCUUUGAAAAUGUCUUUGCUUUCAGAGAUUGAAUUAAACUGUCAGAACUGGAUUUUGAAACUUUUUUAAUGACUUUUUAUAAAGGGGGAAGUAUACAUAACAUUCUAAAACUGUUUAUAUUGCCCAUUUAAGACUGGGGAAAUUCAAAACUACAUUUAUUAGUGGAUAUGACAACGAAUUUAUUUCAUAGCUUUUAAAAAAUGAAGCUCAUUACUGGAAAUUUAAGUGAAAUUGAAUUUUUCAAAGGCAUCUUCUGCAGAGUCGUUUUAAUGUAACUAUGAAUCAAACUUUCAACUUUCAGAAAAUGUGUAUACAGCAUAACCUUUGUUAUAUAACUUGAGAAAAUUCAGAUGUAUCUGGGCGGUUAAGGAUCCGGUUAGAAAUCAUGUUUCAGUGUGAGUGCAAAUAACCGAUUUGAACAUGAGGUAUUUCCGAGGAAACGCUUAUUUCGCCCGAUAGUAGUUUGUCAAAGGUUAAAAUCUUGUUGAAUUUGAAACUUGUUUGGAAGGUGUGUCCUGAUUUAUUUUCUUGCAUCUUUCUUGAGCUUGGAUACUUCUUUCCAUGUUUUAUCCUAAAAACGUGGUAUUGUAUACACGUCUUUUAGGACUUGGUGGGGAAACUUAAAGAUGCUUCGAAAAGCCUGGAAAGAGCAACUCAGUUGUAACUUGGGGAAGUUAACGAUCCGCCCGAGUGCAGAGGAAAACCAGAGACGCCUUGCCUUCAGCUGAACCACCGUUUGUGCGAGCUGGAUGUCCUUUUCAGUAGAAAAGAAUUUUCUUUUUGAAUUUAUGCCAUUCAUCAAUUUUGACACUUUAAAAACAUGUGUGAAAGGGUUAAGAGGGAAAGAUACUGCCCAAGUAUUUGAAUCGUUUAGUAGUAACUGUCCAUUUAUCCUAUUUUGAUCUUUUUCAAGUCUUCUGAAAGGAAGUAGACAGUAUUACACCCUGAAUAAAUAAGGUGGUGUUUUCCACAAA
RNAcentral lists this small RNA (2291 nucleotides) under Pongo abelii (Sumatran orangutan). RNAcentral describes it as "retained intron". The record is from RNAcentral. Lineage: Eukaryota; Metazoa; Chordata; Mammalia; Primates; Hominidae.